UGCAGCUUUGUCAAAUUCAUUGGGUUCUGGCAAAAAAUGGCUGCCAGAGAGAAUGUAGCUCAUGGGUCCUACUGCCUUCCUUUGGUUUUACUGGGGAUAAAUGUGCUCCAAACACAA
This is a small nucleolar RNA of Phyllopteryx taeniolatus (common seadragon), 117 nucleotides long. RefSeq annotates it as small nucleolar RNA SNORA5. The transcript has a single exon. NCBI's taxonomy places the organism in Eukaryota, Metazoa, Chordata, Actinopteri, Syngnathiformes, Syngnathidae. The record is from RefSeq and is a predicted model, not a curated record.